UUUCCGUAGGUGAACCUGCGGAAGGAUCAUUAAAAAUGAAGCCGGGAAACCGGUCCUUCUGACCCUUGAUUAUCUUAAUUUGUUGCUUUGGUGGGCCGCGCAAGCACCGGCUUCGGCUGGAUCGUGCCCGCCAGAGGACACAACUCUGUAUCAAAUGUCGUCUGAGUACUAUAAAAUAGUUAAAACUUUCAACAACGGAUCUCUUGGUUCUG
Molecule: unclassified non-coding RNA, 212 nt
Filed under: plant metagenome
Description: partial contains small subunit ribosomal RNA, internal transcribed spacer 1, and 5.8S ribosomal RNA
Source: RNAcentral